RNAcentral lists this ribosomal RNA (422 nucleotides) under Fusobacteriota bacterium. RNAcentral describes it as "Fusobacteria bacterium partial 16S ribosomal RNA". It matches the Rfam family "Bacterial small subunit ribosomal RNA", at positions 355 to 776 of the family's 1533-position model. Lineage: Bacteria; Fusobacteriati; Fusobacteriota. The record is from RNAcentral.
UGGGGGAUUUUGCACAAUGGGCGCAAGCCUGAUGCAGCGACGCCGCGUGAGGGAUGAAGGCCUUCGGGUUGUAAACCUCUUUCGCUGGGUUGAAAGGCCAUGCUUUGGGUGUGGUUGAUUUGAACUGGUAAAGAAGUACCGGCUAACUACGUGCCAGCAGCCGCGGUAAUACGUAUGGAGCGAGCGUUGUCCGGAAUUAUUGGGCGUAAAGGGUGCGCAGGCGGCUUUACAAGUUGGAUGUGAAAUAUUGUGGCUCAACCACAAACGUGCAUCCAAAACUGCAAAGCUUGAGUUAAGGAGAGGUAAGUGGAAUUCCUGGUGUAGCGGUGGAAUGCGUAGAUAUCAGGAGGAAUACCGGUGGCGAAGGCGACUUACUGGACUUAAACUGACGCUCAGGCACGAAAGCGUGGGGAGCAAACAGG